GUCAGUCGCCUUUCCCCGGUUCUCCCUUCUCAGUGGUGGGCUAAUGUGGAGAAAUAAGAAACCCUUAGGGCUUAGCGCCUGACUUCCUCAUUAGUAUAUCACAUCGCAACGCUUCCGAAUGCAGGGUUUGCUCCCAAGUCUUACCUUGCACGGGACCACGCAAUACCCUUUCUAGGGAGAAAAGAAACAACCUUGAGGAGAAGAAGAGCUGAAAGUGAAUUAGAAAGUGAAUUUGACGUCAUUGAAAUUGGUGUGUGGAUAUAAUAAACACUGCCAAGAGAAGGCCUUUUGUACUCAGGUUAAAUAAGAACAUCCUGCAAGGAGUCUGUUCUUUUAUGCAGCCUAAAGAUCAAGUAAUAAUCAUUGACACUGAUACUGAGCAUGUCGAUUUUGAAGAGACUAGCAUUUCCUGGUAAUGAAGUGGAGUAUAUAUCCAUAUAUUUCUGUUUUCUGGAUGAGAAGACUAACCUAACUAAGUAGGAACCUUGAAGAAUCAUGUUCUUCCUAGGAAUUACAAAUCCCCCGAUUCCAUGUCUAACAUAAUUUCUACUGGCCUCUUUGCUUCUCAUGCUUUAGUACCAGUGCUUCUGAAUUUGAAAGUCUUCAUGCAAAUUGCCCAGGUUUGCUGGCAGCUGUGUCUCAGAAAAAGCUGUCUUCAGCAAGGCAGAAGCAGAGGAUCUUCUAGAAGAUUUGCACUAUCAGCUUGGUAUUCAGUUCUCUAGCUUGAAAUGAUUUCAGUGCCU
Molecule: long non-coding RNA, 743 nt
Filed under: Homo sapiens (human)
Lineage: Eukaryota; Metazoa; Chordata; Mammalia; Primates; Hominidae
Description: HSALNT0162736
Source: RNAcentral